Long non-coding RNA from Cavia porcellus (domestic guinea pig), 573 nucleotides. RefSeq lists it as uncharacterized. The record is from RefSeq and is a predicted model, not a curated record. Lineage: Eukaryota; Metazoa; Chordata; Mammalia; Rodentia; Caviidae. The transcript is spliced from 5 exons.
GGAGCUUGGAGGGGAGGCUCCAGGAGGAGUUCAGUGAUGAUUGGAAAAGUGGGUCCCUUGGAGGUGCAUCAAGGCAAGAAGUCAGCCUGCUCUCCAGUCUUUGAAGGAUGUGAAGGUGUGGCUACCCAUUUUCUCAGUCUCUGUGGAAUCCAGAUUCAAUAUCAAAUGCCAAGCAACCUCCGUGACAUUCUAAGAAACUCAUCCUGUCCUCACUGGGGCACUCAAUGACUCAGAGUAGCCCAAAUACGCCACAGGACACAUGGCAGCCGCAGCUGGAAGAGAAAGAGAGAGAGGAAGAGGCCAAAGAGGAUAUCAGGCAGAUAAGAGUUAUCAGUAAAGGUCAUCCUCAAUUUCUGUACAGAAAUGAUCUGUCUCCGGUCAUGACGGUUAAUGCUGCUAAAAAAUCUCAUCACUGCUUUUGAUCACUGUAUUGUCUUCCUGGUAUUAUCAGAAUUUUGUGAAGUGGUCAGAAUCCAUUUCCUAAGGAGACUUUGUUUUUCAUGGAGACUAAACAUAUACAUUCCAGUAAUAAUAAUUUGUGUUCAAAUGCUCUAUCAACACAACUUGGGGACG